UUUGUGUCUAAUACAGGGGCUAAUACUUAAAAACCAGCGACUCUUGAGAAUUUUAAAUAAAUCCACGCAGUCCACAUUACAUGCCAUAAUUUUUGGCUGUUGUCAAAAGUACUAUAGCUGCAUAUAUUAGCGGCUCUUUUUCAAAUACCGAAUAAAUUUGCGUCAAAUCAAAUUCAAUUUUUGCAUUAAUAAAUUAGUUUCGACGCUCAUUCUUG
This is a long non-coding RNA of Bradysia coprophila, 215 nucleotides long. Lineage: Eukaryota; Metazoa; Arthropoda; Insecta; Diptera; Sciaridae. The record is from RefSeq and is a predicted model, not a curated record.